UGGUAAUGCCGGAUGCUCCAGUUGGAUGCAUGUCCUUCUGGGAAAGAUUCAUCGGUAUGGGAUGGGGUCGCGUCCUAUCAGCUUGAUGGCGGGGUAACGGCCCACCAUGGCUUCGACGGGUAGCCGGCCUGAGAGGGCGACCGGCCACAUUGGGACUGAGAUACGGCCCAGACUCCUACGGGAGGCAGCAGUGGGGAAUAUUGCACAAUGGGCGCAAGCCUGAUGCAGCGACGCCGCGUGCGGGAUGACGGCCUUCGGGUUGUAAACCGCUUUUGACUGGGAGCAAGCCCUUCGGGGUGAGUGUACCUUUCGAAUAAGCACCGGCUAACUACGUGCCAGCAGCCGCGGUAAUACGUAGGGUGCAAGCGUUAUCCGGAAUUAUUGGGCGUAAAGGGCUCGUAGGCGGUUCGUCGCGUCCGGUGUGAAAGUCCAUCGCUUAACGGUGGAUCCGCGCCGGGUACGGGCGGGCUUGAGUGCGGUAGGGGAGACUGGAAUUCCCGGUGUAACGGUGGAAUGUGUAGAUAUCGG
Molecule: ribosomal RNA, 528 nt
Filed under: Bifidobacterium adolescentis
Lineage: Bacteria; Bacillati; Actinomycetota; Actinomycetes; Bifidobacteriales; Bifidobacteriaceae
Description: bacterial SSU rRNA
Rfam family: Bacterial small subunit ribosomal RNA
Source: RNAcentral